RNAcentral lists this ribosomal RNA (206 nucleotides) under uncultured bacterium. RNAcentral's name for it is "partial 16S ribosomal RNA". It matches the Rfam family "Bacterial small subunit ribosomal RNA", at positions 1288 to 1500 of the family's 1533-position model. The record is from RNAcentral.
UCAGUUCGGAUCGGAGUCUGCAACCCGACUCCGUGAAGCUGGAUUCGCUAGUAAUCGCGCAUCAGCCAUGGCGCGGUGAAUACGUUCCCGGGCCUUGUACACACCGCCCGUCAAGCCAUGGAAGGCCGGGGGCGCUUGAAGUGCGUUGCCGCAAGGCGCGCCCUAGAGCGAAACCGGUGACUGGGGCUAAGUCGUAACAAGGUAAC